UUCUCUCCUCUACUCCAUUGGCAAGGGAGAUGUCUUCGGACCCAAACAGUCUUUGGUCCUAAUCCUGUUGGAUAUCGCUCCAAUGAUGGGAGUCUUAGAGGGUGUUGUCAUGGAGCUCCAAAAUUGCUCUCUUCCUCUUGUCAGCAAUACUUACUCAAGUGAAUCGAUGUUCCCAUCCUCAUCACAUGAUUGUAGUAGCUUCUCAACCAUUGUGUCUGCACCUUCAUUGAG
Long non-coding RNA from Strongylocentrotus purpuratus (purple sea urchin), 231 nucleotides. RefSeq lists it as uncharacterized. NCBI's taxonomy places the organism in Eukaryota, Metazoa, Echinodermata, Echinoidea, Camarodonta, Strongylocentrotidae. The record is from RefSeq and is a predicted model, not a curated record. The transcript has 3 exons.